GAUGAAGAACGUAGCGAAAUGCGAAAAGUAAUGUGAAUUGCAGAAUUCAGUGAAUCAUCGAAUCUUUGAACGCACAUUGCGCCCGCCAGUAUUCUGGCGGGCAUGCCUGUCUGAGCGUCAUUUCAACCCUCAUGCCCCUAGGGCGUGGUGUUGGGGAUCGGCCAGCGCCCGCGAGGGACGGCCGGCCCCUAAAUCUAGUGGCGGACCCGUCGUGGCCUCCCCUGCGAAGUAGUGAUAUUCCGCAUAGGAGAGCGACGAGCCCCUGCCGUUAAACCCCCAACUUUCUCAGGUUGACCUCAGAUCAGGUAGGAAUACCCGCUGAACUUAAGCAUAUCAAUAAGCGGAGGA
RNAcentral lists this unclassified non-coding RNA (348 nucleotides) under soil metagenome. RNAcentral describes it as "partial contains 5.8S ribosomal RNA, internal transcribed spacer 2, and large subunit ribosomal RNA". The stretch from base 1 to 120 matches the Rfam family "5.8S ribosomal RNA", at positions 35 to 154 of the family's 154-position model. The record is from RNAcentral.